UGCUCCCAGGGACCACUUCUGUCACGGCGUUGAAAGCACGAGGGUUGAAGUAACGUACUCUCGGGAUCGGUCGAGUUUCAGGAAAAAUAUACAGGAAUACCCUGGGAGUAACCUGUACUUCAACAUUUUGCGGGCCUCCUCACUCCAAACCAGUACCACGAAGACGAAGCGCAGUUGGUGGAAUCGACUUGUGAUCAUCGUGGCAUCAAUGACUUUGUCACGAUUCCUGUUGGAAGAGAAGGCUUCCUGCAUCAUACGAAGGUGACGUAUUACGAACACGCACGGGAGGCAGUGUCGACGAAGCAUCCGGGUUACGAGGUUUUUGAGGUAGCCGGUUGACGACAUUGUCCACUAAACCGCAUGACCACCGUAGCCAGAGGCUCAAUAUUGGAUGCAGUGAGGCCGGUGUACCGGUUGCUGCAGGUGACUGAGAGGAGGGAGGGCGCGGUGGACAUCCAAGGUGGCAAAGAGGGUCAAAACAUAGACGGCAUAAUUGUAUCUUGUUAUCGCAAUGCGAGGCUUAUUGGACUGCGAUAAGCUGAGAGCUGGGAACCGGAUCGAGGACAAUGAAAUACUCGACGCUUAGUAACCAUCGUUACUACGCUGCUGAGCACUGGUCAGUCCGUGAAUCUAUACCGAAAAUCCAGUUCGAUCUGGUUUCAUCGCUGCGCCGCCGCUGCUAACGUCGACGAAGGAAAAGGAUUAUCUCCCGGUAAGGCUGGGUUCGUCCGUCGCUUCGAGCCGAGCUUUGGUGAUUACUUCCCUGUGUUGGUGCUGGCUAUUUGUACAUGUGCCAAGCUGUAUAGCUGGACACGUUACAGUACAUUAAGAUGCAAAUUUGAUUUUCUGAUAAAGAUUAAAAUAUCACAGUCGCAUACCAAUUAUUCAAAGAUUCCGGACAAAUCUCACUUUUAACCAUCACCACAGUAUUUAUUACGAUAGAAACGAUACCUCUUUUACUGAAUUUUUCUAGUUACUAUGAAAAAUGAAAUUUUUCUCAGUGCAGGCAUCCGAAGGAUUCGCAUCUGUGAUAUCAGGUGUAUAAUAACAUGCCGCGCCCCAUUUCAUGCUGCGGAAUAAAAUACAAAAUGGCGAUCAAUGAGCUACGAAUCACACGGUUAAAAAUGGAAUUCAAUUAAGAGUGACGUAACAAGCGGCAGAACCGUGGCACACAGCGUCGGUGUUCUCUGGUCUUUGAUUAAAAAUGCAUAGGUCGAGCCAAGCCCGAAAAAGGUGAGUUGAGUUUUAUCUCUGGCCCCAAUUUAACCGGCAACGGUUUGCCUCGAGAGCCGGUUACAAGAUGACGGGUGAACAGGCCUAUAUUGCAGCCAUAAGACGAGGGGAUAAAGGAUUUCGUUAGAUCCAUUCUGGAGACCCUCGGGUCGAUCAGGGCGAACGGAAUCUAGUUUAAAUCUGGAUUCAGAUCCGGCUACUCGACGUUAGAAGCUGAAAGCAAACCGGAAGAGACGGACACGGACCUUGAUAAGAAUUUCUUAACCAGGAAUGAAUGAACGAGCUAUCGAGAGUCAGGAUCACCGUACAACCGGAUGUCCCCGGCUGCAGUGAGCUGCUUUUCCACCGGGGGGGGUGAAAAGCCGAAAACGUACGUUUUCGCGUGUGUGCAAAUUCGACGCGAAUCCAUCAUUCGAUUCGAUUCGUUCUUCGAAUGUACACACAGACGUACGUGUCCAAAAUGACGCGUAAGCCCGCACUGUUCACCCUCAGGACAGGCGGCAGAAGCGAGGCAAGGCAACCCCAGCAUGACAUCUGUCAAUCCCCUGGUUUUGGAUUAGUACGAAUACCUCCGCUCUGCACUGUAUGUGAGGCCUGGCACACACUGAGAAAAAUUUCAUUUUUAAUAGUAACUAAAAAAAUUCGGUAAGA
This 1884-nucleotide long non-coding RNA is filed under the name Neodiprion lecontei (redheaded pine sawfly). RNAcentral's name for it is "uncharacterized LOC124293115". The record is from RNAcentral. Lineage: Eukaryota; Metazoa; Arthropoda; Insecta; Hymenoptera; Diprionidae.